RNAcentral lists this long non-coding RNA (618 nucleotides) under Marmota monax (woodchuck). The record is from RNAcentral. Lineage: Eukaryota; Metazoa; Chordata; Mammalia; Rodentia; Sciuridae.
CCUGCCCAAGACCGAACCUUCCACUGUGAGAUCUGCAAUGUCAAGGUCAACUCGGAGGUCCAACUGAAACAGGUGAGUCUGAGGCCCUCCCCAGGAAUUCUGGGAAGCUCCACCCGCUGAGGGGUCAGGAGAACAAAGAGCUUGCGUGAGGCCCCUUCUUCGGGCUCCUACCCCUGUGCUAAAAAAGGGAAUGGACCCAGAAACUGGGCUAUCAGCGAGGUGGCCCUGCCCCGUGGCGGUUGCUUUCUUCUGGGGGAUCGCAACCCACCACCCAAUCGCUUCCUCAGCACAUCUCCAGCCGGCGGCACCGAGACGGCGUGGCCGGGAAGCCCAACCCACUACUGAGCCGUCACAAGAAACCGAGGGGCGCCGGGGAGCUGGCGGUGAGGCCAGGGCGCUGGGAAACUCGGCGGAGGGUUGGAAAGAGGGACGCGGGAGGGGGCCCCAGGAGAGGUGAGGUUUACGGACCGCCGCCUGACCUCCCUGCGCUCUCUGGCUUCAGGGCACGCUGACUUUCUCCAAGGAGCUGCCCAAGUCCCUAGCCGGAGGCCUGCUCCCGAGCCCCCUGGCGGUGGCUGCGGUGAUGGCAGCGGCAGCAGGCUCCCCGCUGUCCCUGCG